This is a long non-coding RNA of Mus musculus (house mouse), 406 nucleotides long. RefSeq annotates it as predicted gene, 33596. NCBI's taxonomy places the organism in Eukaryota, Metazoa, Chordata, Mammalia, Rodentia, Muridae. The transcript is spliced from 2 exons. The record is from RefSeq and is a predicted model, not a curated record.
GGUACAGGGCACUGUGUAGGUGGCUCUUACAGGCAUUGUAUUACUCAGUCUUGGUAAAGUUCCAUCACUGCAGGACCAAAGCCUCUAUACUGGGUAGGAGAAAUGUAUCUUGCUGUUUUGCUGAGAGCUCUGGACUCUCCAGUGUAAAGUCCAGGCAAACCAGACCUAUCUAGCCCAUGAUGAGUGUUGGGACGUACAGCAGAGCCUGUCUCUGACCACCUCCUCACAUCUGCACCAACCCACAAACAGAUGGUUAAUCUAGGAAUCAAAUGAAGAAAUGGUCAACUCAUUAUGAAGAAAAUUCUACUGGAGUCUGGAGUCUACUAAUUUUGUACAUCUUGAGCAAUUGCUUCUCCUUGUAAAUAUCAUGUGGUGGGAUUUGGGUAAGAUUGUUUCGUUGAUAGUA